RNAcentral lists this long non-coding RNA (5915 nucleotides) under Mytilus galloprovincialis (Mediterranean mussel). The record is from RNAcentral. Lineage: Eukaryota; Metazoa; Mollusca; Bivalvia; Mytilida; Mytilidae.
AAAAGUUAAUAUCAAAACAGGAAAAGCUUAACAUUAACAAUUUAUAUUGGCAAAAUGAAUUAUUAAGGAUCGAAAAUUUAAAGAUAAUAACUGUUAAUAAUUAUUUAAUGAAACAACAACAUUUACAGAAAAGUAAAAGAGGGGCGAAAGAUAUCAAUGGGACAGUCAAACUCAUAAAUUAAGAAUAGGUGGAAAAGAAGGAAUAAAAAAUAUCAUGAUAUAAAGAUUGUACAGCUUGGGAUGCAGAUACGAUAAUACCAGCAGCAACUACAACAGCUACAACAACAGAAGACGUGGAAUAAAAAGGUACGGUUUAACAAGUUUAGAAAUUUAAUUAAAUAAUAGAACUUGAAUGUGUUGUAUCUUCGUGAACUGCAACAACUAGUUCCUGAUAUUGGUGACCUUUAUAGUUUAAUUGUUUUGAUAAUGAUUUUACAAAUAAAAUCAUGACUCCGUAACAUUUAGGGUGCCAGGAUGUGCCCCAGUUGUUACAUAUUAAUUAAUAAGCUUUCGAGUAGUCAGCACUUCGGUGUUGACAUGGAUAUCAAUUAAAUGGUAAUUUUUUUAUAAAUUUAUUGUUUGCAAAAGGUAUGAAUUAUUCGAAAUACUAACUUGUUUUCUUACCCCAGGCAUAAAUUACCUUAGCCGUAUUUGGCACAACUUUUGUGGAAUUUUGUGUCCUCAAUGCACUUCAACUUUGUACUUCUUUUGGCUUCCAACUAUUUUGAUCUGAGCGUCAUUGACGAGUCUUAUGUAGACGAAACGCGCGUCUGGUGUAUCAAAGUAUAAGCCUGGUAACUUUGAUAAAUAUUCUUGUUAUAGAUAUAGUUAUCUAGAUAGAGGAAAUGACAGUCACAGUGUUCAUUGUUAGUAAUAGUUCAAAUGUAUUUAAAGUCAGUUCAGCAGGAUAAAUCUCUUAAGGGAGUUGGCUUCUCAGUUUCAAAAUAAUUAACUUUUCAAAACACUAGCAUAUAUUGAUAGGGGAUUAAUAAAGGAAUCAAAAGAGCAAAAAAAAUAUAUAGGUCACCGUGCUUGUUUGCGAGAUAAUUGUCAUUGGAAUUUUGGCGGGAAAAUGUUCUCUCUUGACUUUUCUUAACUUUAUCAUUGACAAGUUUAAGUCCUCAAAAACUAUUAAAAAAUAAUUAAAAUUUUAUAAGACUUUAACAGACAGCUUAUCAUUAUACAUGUAAAAGAUUUAUAAAAAGAAAAAUGGGGGUCACCGGGCAAAAUUUGUUAAGGCAUUCAAAUGGAUAAAACCAGAGGAUUCCGAAAAUCUGACCAAAAUUCCAAGCUUCCUUAAGUGUACAUGCAUGUCUAAAUUAUUCAUUGAUUAUUAGCUGGAACUUAUAAACAUGUUAUAUGGGAAAAUCAUUUCAUUAUUAUCAUAAACAGUUUGAUCAAUUGCAUAAACAUUUACAUUUCUCACUUUUUAAAAUUGGAAAUCCGACAAGUUAUUUAUUGCGUUAUGGAAUUUUUACUUAUUAAUGAUAUAGGGCCUAUAGUUAUCAAAGGUACCAAUAUUAUAAUUUAAUACGCCAGACGCGCGUUUCGUCUACAUAAGACUCAUCAGUGGCUCAGAUCAAUCUAUUUAUUUGAUUAUAAAAUUGUACAAUUAUAUAAUCGAAGCAUGAUUAUAAAACAUAUAUAUUUACUAUUCCAAGUUAUUGAUUAAUAUUGAAUAUCAGUGCAUUGUUAUUGAAUUGCAUUAAAGUCUUGCUGAUAAAUGUUUAUUUUGUAUCUACAGUGUAAACCAUGCCAACCUUAUCUGAAGAAGAAGACAAUUUUGUGCGACUAAAUAUGUUGCUGACAGGUCUAUCUACAAAGGCUGCUUGUGUACUGUUUGACAAAGAAUUUGCACCGAGCUGUUUACGUGCUUCAUUUAAAAAAGAGUUUAAUAAAUUAUUGAAACUAAAGAAAAAGCAAGUCAUAACACAGGCACAGUGGAACAUUAUAGAUCCCUAUAAAGGUGAUUGUUAUACAUUUCAGUUAUAGUAGAGUGUUUAUUGGACAACAUGCAUCAAUAAUUCUAUUGCAAUUAUUUUAUAUCAAUGGUUCUGUUAGGCUGACAAUUAGCGUACAAUUCUCUUUCUAUCUGUCUUUAACUAAGGGAAGAAGACAAUUUGAAAACGAAAUGUAUUGAUACAUUAUUUCUCAAAUAACAACCAAAUACCCACAAUUUGCACAUAGAAUUCUUUUUUUUUUUACAUUCUGAUGCUGAAAAAAAGGAAGAAAAAACAUGUUGUUUACAUUUUCACCGGACAUGCCGGAAGCAUGACUAUAACGUCACAUAGUUUCGGUGCCAAAGCAGAGAACAUCAUUUUGCUGGAUUUUCUUUUAUUAAAAAAUUUACUCCUACAUAAUGACUGAAGUUGAUUGAUUGGUUUAUUUUGCAUAUAAUAGAUAGAGAUAACUUUAUUUUUUUCUGUCUCAAAUAUUUGUUAACGCUUUGUAUCUCCAGGUAAACUCCAUUUACAACAGUUAAACUACUGACGAACAUUCCGAAAGGUUCAAAUACAAAACAGUUAUCUCUUCAAUCCCAAUAGUCAGAAUUUUGUUCAUUACUUACAGCUAAUUUCCUAAGGCAUGUAGAGCAAGACUUUAGUAAGCUUGCUUGCUUUGUUUUUAUAUUGUACAAUUAUUAGGAUAACACCCAAUUAAAUUCAAAUAUCAUAUAUACAGGUUAAACUAUGCCUAUAUAUAUUGUUUAAAGAUGUCAAUCUUAUUUACAAAGCUUGUACAAACUAUUAUAGAAAUAAAGCAAGCAAGCCAACCAAAGUUUUGCUUUACAUGCAUUAGGAAAUUAGCUGUAAUCUGAAAUUAUCCCAAAGAUCAGUCUAUUUAUUCAGAUUAUUAUAAUAUAUUCUUAAGCUGCAUGUAUAAUUAUAAAGGAAGAAAAGUUUUCUGAUGUAUUUCUGUGUUUGCCUGCUUGUUAGCUGUUUGUAAUUCCAUCUGUCCGUCAUGUAUCAGGUUUAAGUUUUGGUGUAAGAUUGUACUUUAAACACCUAAUGAUUAAAAGAAUAUCAAUAGCAUUGAACAACCACACAAUAACACGAAUUAGGUGUGGGAGAACAUGUUUUGGGCAUACAAAAAGUGAUCUAUGAAGGUUAUUUGCUAUUCAACAUAAUUUAUGCUUGGAGUUUGUUAAAAAAGACACAUAAAAUUGACAGAAACAAUAAAUAAUAGCUAUUGCAAUGAAAUAAAUAUAAUACAAUAAUUGAAUCAGUAUUUUUGAAACUUCAUUUUCAUGCUAUGGCCUUAAUUUGCACAUUAAAGAAAAGCUAGACUAAGUGAAGUUAUCAAGUUUGAUAGUUCAAUAUGUUUUAAAAGGAAAUAAAACAACAUGCUGUUUAAGUUGAAUACUUUUUAUACGACCGCAAAAUUUGAAAAUUUUUUCGUCGUAUAUUGCUAUCACGUUGCGUCGUCGUCGUCGUCGUCGUCGUCGUCGUCCGAAUACUUUUAGUUUUCGCACUCUAACUUUAGUAAAAGUGAAUAGAAAUCAAUGAAAUUUUAACACAAGGUUUAUGACCACAAAAAGGAAGGUUGGGAUUGAUUUUGGGAGUUUUGGUCCCAACAUUUUAGGAAUUAGGGGCUAAAAAGGGCCCAAAUAUGCAUUUUCUUGGUUUUCGCACUAUAACUUUAGUUUAAGUGAAUAGAAAUCUAUGAAAUUUUGACACAAGGUUUAUGACCACAAAAGGAAGGUUGGGAUUGAUUUUGGGAGUUUUGGUUCCAACAGUUUAGGAAUUAAGGGCCAAAAAAGGGCCCAAAUAAGCAUUAUUCUUGGUUUUCGCACAAUAACUUUAGUAUAAGUAAAUAGAAAUCAAUGAAAUUUUAACACAAGGUUUAUGACCACAAAAGGAAGGUUGGGAUUGAUUUUUGGAGUUGAGGUCACAACAGUUUAUGAAUUAGGGGCCAAAAAGGGGCCCAAAUAAGCAUUAUUUUUGGUUUUUGCACCAUAACUUUAGUAUAAGUAAAUAGAAAUCUAUGAAAUUUAAAUACAAGGUUUAUGACCAUAAAAGGAAGGUUGGGUUUGAUUUUGGGAGUUUUUGGUCCUAACAGUUUAGGAAUAAGGGGCCCAAAGGGUCCAAAAUUGAACUUUGUGUGAUUUCAUCAAAAAUUGAAUAAUUGGGGUUCUUUGAUAUGCCGAAUCUAACUAUGUAUGUAGAUUCUUAAUUUUUGGUCCCGUUUUCAAAUUGGUCUACAUUAAGGUCCAAAGGGUCCAAAAUUAAACUUAGUUUGAUUUUAACAAAAAUUGAAUCCUUGGGUUCUUUGAUAUGCUGAAUUUAAAAAUGUACUUAGAUUUUAAUUAUUGGCCUAGUUUUUCAAGUUGGUCCAAUGGGGGUCCAAAAUUAAACUUGUUUGAUUUCAUCAAAAAUUGAAUAAAUGGGUUUUUGAUAUGCCCAAAUCUAACUGUGUAUGUAGAUUCUUAAUUUUUGGUCCAGUUUUCAAAUUGGUCUACAUUAAGGUCCAAAGGGUCCAAAAUUAAACUAAGUUUGAUUUUAACAAAAAUUAAAUUCUUGGCUUAUUUGAUAUGCUUUAUCUAAAUUGUACUUUGAUUUUUGAUUAUGGCCAGUUUUCAAGUUGGUCCAAAUCAGGAUUCAUAUCAAGUAUUGUGCAAUAGCAAGAAAUUUUCAAUUGGCCAGUAUUGCACAAUAGCAAGAAAUAUCUAAUUGCACAAUAUUGUGCAAUAGCAAUUAAUUUCAAUUGGAGUUAUCUUUCUUUGUAUAGAAUAGUAGUUGAUAAUAUAUGUUGGAAAUUUGCCAGACAUGAAACUAUGAUGUCUUUCUAUUUUUAUAUGCCAAUAACUUAUGUAAAUACUUCAUUGGAAAUUUGCCAAUAUAAAAUGUUGCUGAUGAAGCUUUUUUCCUUAUCUUAUCUAAAUGUUUUUAGAUAAUGUAUGUUGGACAUUUGCCAGACAUGAUAUGAUGUCAUUUUCUAUUUUUAUUUGCCAAUAACUUUAUGUAAAUAACUUCAUUGGAAAUUUGCCAAUAUAAAAUGUUGUUGAUGAAGUUUUUUUUAUGUUUUAUACAAUAAACAAUGUAUAUUCACUUUACUACCAACCAAUCUUUACCAUUCAGUGAUAACAAGCACUUUAUUUUACAUUUUAAUAUUUUAUGAGUAUUUAAAAAGAGUAGUUAUUGUUGCAAACUCCAUUAGAAAUUUGAAUUGAUAUCAGUUUUGGAGAAAGGGAAACGGGGAUGUGAAAAAAGGGGGGGGGGGUUUAAAUUUUUCUCAUUUCAGAUUUCAUAAAUAAAAAGAAAAUUUCUUCAAACAUUUUUUUGAGAGGAUUAAUAUUCAACAGCAUAGUGAAUUGCUCAAAGGCAAAAAAAAACUUUUAAGUUCAUUAGACCACAUUCAUUCUGUGUCAGAAACCUAUGCUGUGUCAACUAUUUAAUUUUAGAUUUAAAAAGUUUGAAGAAGAAAUCUUUAAUUGAUUUGUAAAAUCUUGACAUUUGUUUUGUGUAAAAAAAUCCAUGUAAUGUCAAAAAUUUGAUCACAAUCCAAAUUCAGAGCUGUAUCACGCUUGAAUGUUUUGUCCAUACUUGCCCCAACUGUUCAGGGUUCGACCUCUGCGGUCGUAUAAAGCUGCGCCCUGCGGAGCACCUGGUUAUUUGUUGAGAUGAAUAAUGUUUAGAACACACAAUGUCUUAGUCGUAUUUGGCACAACUGUUUGGUAUUUUGGGUCCUCAAUGCUCUUCCACUUUGUACUUGUUUGGCUUUAUAACUAUUUUGACCUGAGCGUCACUGAUGAGUCAUAUGAAGACGAAACGCGCGUCUUGCGAAUUAAAUUAUAAUCCUGUUACCUUUGAUAACUAAUUAUAUCCUUCUUAUUUUCAGGUUCGCCAUCAUCACAAAAUUUUGAUGUCACUCUAAUAAUAUGUUUGCUGAGACACUUGACUCCUAUGUGUGCCCCAUCA